Molecule: long non-coding RNA, 1070 nt
Organism: Dermacentor andersoni
Lineage: Eukaryota; Metazoa; Arthropoda; Arachnida; Ixodida; Ixodidae
Source: RefSeq, a predicted model, not a curated record
CAAAAAUAAUCGUCAUCUGCCUUGAUGCGUUUCCUUUCUUUAUCGCUGCGAGCCCGGAACUUUCCAGUAACGAACGGCACGCGCGUUAUCAGCAUAGAACAGUUUACACCCUUUGGAGUGCCCCUUCUGAUAACGCGCGUGCCGUUCGUCACUGGAAAGUUCCGGGCUUGCAGCGAUAAAGAAAGGAAACGCAUCAAGGCAGAUGACGAUUAUUUUUGUGUGGCAGAAGGGGCAAGCCAAAGGGUGUAAACUGUUCUUAGAGUGUAGGUGUUAUAGUGAGAAACUAUGGGGCAGGGCCUCUCCUCAGUCAUUUGCCUCAGUUUCCUUCCUCCACGAGUUAUAGUGAGAAACUCCGGGGAUUCCCAUGAUGGUUGAACGCACGACCUACUGGAACUCCAGACCUGCACAGAUAUCAGGCUUUUAUGGGAGCAGCUUGCGCCCACUUUCGUUCAACAGACGGCCGUAGGUGGCGCUUUUAUAACCUGUUCGUCUGCUACGCGGUGGGCGGCUGUGCAGCGUUGUACGGCAGCUGUUGUGUUGUGACGAACUGUUUGUCUAAUUGAUUUUUGCUAACACAGUGACAGUGAUGUCACAAGGCUUUGAUCGGUAACUUGGCUCCAAAAGUUGACGGCCCGGACCUAAAAAAAUGUCGGAGCGUGUAGUCCGUUGCCGUCUAACAUAGCGUUAAAUAGCCGCUCCUAUUGCCUUUUUCAAGCAGAUUAUUAUAAAGGCCGUGUCUGCUGUGCCCGGGGCACAGCAGACGAAAGGUGCCCGAAAUGUCUACGUUCACCCAUGACGUCACAUCCGCUAUAACCCAUGAUGUCACAUCCGCUCAUUUCCAUGGCGGCCGUCUUACGGAGCCGGCUGCGCUGCGAAACGGUCCGUAUUCCGUGCCCACUUAGAGCACUGAACAUCCCACGUCUUGGUUUGACUUCCUGGUACAGGAUACUUGCACUUAGCAUGGAGUGAUGAAGCAGAGCAGUGUACUUUUAUUAAAUGUGCAGAUUUUAGCAGUAUAACAGCCGUUCAUUAAAAAAACGUGUGCUGAAAAUAAAGUAUACUUACCCACA